Molecule: ribosomal RNA, 165 nt
Filed under: Triticum aestivum (bread wheat)
Lineage: Eukaryota; Viridiplantae; Streptophyta; Magnoliopsida; Poales; Poaceae
Description: partial small subunit ribosomal RNA
Source: RNAcentral
AUGACAAUCAACAAGAGUCAAGGGCAAUCUCUAAACAAAGUAGGACUAUAUCUGCGAAAACAAGUUUACAUGCACGGACAACUAUAUGUGGCUAUCCCAAGAGUCACACAAAGAGAUAGUCUACGGACAAUUGUAGAUGAUGAAGAAACCAACAAAGAUGGUUAA